AGUCUUGGUGGAACCUUUCGUUUUGAAGGAAAUAAGCUUCAGUCUGUCUGUCCUCUUCUUCAUUGCAAACUUACAUAACCAGAAAUCUCUACUGUUUUUGCUGAGACAAGGUAAAAACGCUUCAGAAUGGAUAAGAUUUCGUUGAUCUUUUUACUGGCAGCAGUCUUUUCUUUCGCUCAUGUCGGCGAAGCUGCGACAUCAUGCUACCAAUGUGUGUACAUCACUGGCGGUGGAAAUUCGA
Strongylocentrotus purpuratus (purple sea urchin) is the source of this 241-nucleotide long non-coding RNA. RefSeq lists it as uncharacterized. The transcript is spliced from 3 exons. NCBI's taxonomy places the organism in Eukaryota, Metazoa, Echinodermata, Echinoidea, Camarodonta, Strongylocentrotidae. The record is from RefSeq and is a predicted model, not a curated record.